This 599-nucleotide ribosomal RNA is filed under the name Steinernema vulcanicum. RNAcentral's name for it is "LSU rRNA". It matches the Rfam family "Eukaryotic large subunit ribosomal RNA", at positions 360 to 954 of the family's 3401-position model. The record is from RNAcentral. Lineage: Eukaryota; Metazoa; Nematoda; Chromadorea; Rhabditida; Steinernematidae.
AAAGUUGCAAAGUACUUUGAAGAGAGAGUUCAAGAGGACGUGAAACCGAUAGGAUGGAAGCAGAUGAAGUUGACGAACGAGUGUCGUAUUCAGGGCCGCAUCUUGUGUGCGGUCUGUUCUUGCGACCGAUGUGGGCUGGCGGCCUUGGUCAAUGCACGGUGUCAAGCGUCGAUGGUGACCCUGCGGAGGGAUAUUCGUUCGGCGUACGAUGCGUGGUAUGGCUAAGGUUUUUCGCGCCGGUCUUGAAGUCAGCGCCUCAUCUGACCCGUCUUGAAACACGGACCAAGGAGUGUAGCGUUUACGCAAGUCUUAGAGUGUAUGAAAACUUUGAGGCGCAACGAAAGUAAAGGUGGCUUCAAGCUGCUGACUUGGGAUGCGCUGUCUCCUGUGGACGGCGCUGGACCAUGGUUAUAUCGCGAUCGCUUGCGAUGCGGUGUAAAUAGAGCGUAAACGGUGCGACCCGAAAGAUGGUGAACUAUGCCUGAGCAGGAUGAAGCCGGAGGAAACUCUGGUGGAAGUCCGAAGCGGUUCUGACGUGCAAAUCGAUCGUCUGACUUGGGUAUAGGGGCGAAAGACUAAUCGAACCAUCUAGUAGCUGG